RNAcentral lists this ribosomal RNA (428 nucleotides) under uncultured bacterium. RNAcentral's name for it is "partial 16S ribosomal RNA". It matches the Rfam family "Bacterial small subunit ribosomal RNA", at positions 354 to 796 of the family's 1533-position model. The record is from RNAcentral.
GUGGGGAAUAUUGGGCAAUGGGGGCAACCCUGACCCAGCAACGCCGCGUGAGGGAAGAAGGUUUUCGGAUUGUAAACCUCUGUCCUAUGGGAAGAAGGAAGUGACGGUACCAUAGGAGGAAGCCCCGGCUAACUACGUGCCAGCAGCCGCGGUAAUACGUAGGGGGCGAGCGUUGUCCGGAAUUACUGGGCGUAAAGGGUGCGCAGGUGGCCUGACAAGUCAGAUGUGAAAUACCGAUGCUUAACGUCGGGGCUGCAUUUGAAACUAUGAGGCUGGAGUGCAGGAGAGGGAAGCGGAAUUCCUAGUGUAGCGGUGAAAUGCAUAGAUAUUAGGAGGAACACCAGUGGCGAAGGCGGCUUGCUGGACAUUAACUGACGCUGAGGCGCGAAAGCGUGGGGAGCAAACAGGAUUAGAAACCCGGGUAGUCC